ACUUGCUUCGGCAGGAUAUAUUCUAAAAUUGGAAUGAUACAGACAAGAUUAACAUGGUCCCUGCCCAAGGGUAGCUCGGAAUUUCGUAAAGCGUUCCAUAUUUUG
Octopus bimaculoides (California two-spot octopus) is the source of this 105-nucleotide non-coding RNA. NCBI's taxonomy places the organism in Eukaryota, Metazoa, Mollusca, Cephalopoda, Octopoda, Octopodidae. The record is from Rfam.